AUCCAACUGCAAAUUCUCUAUGGUUGACACCGAAACAUCAGUUUCAGCUCCUUGUGACUUUUUUAGCUUUGCCACAAGGACCCACAUGUUGGCAAGUUCAUUUUCCAGUUAUUUUUUUAGCGCGCAUAGAGGCCCGAUUUGUCUUUCAGAGUUUCACGAGAGGCGCGUGCAAAGAAGGUAGGGAUGAAAUUGGUAUUUGGUAGUAUUACUACUAGUUAGUACUGUAUACACUAAUACGCCAGCAAUGACAGUUACAUGUGUCAAGGGAUGGGACCUACGACACUCACUUAGGCUCUCCAAAGCUUUCAAUGUAAACUAAUUUUUCACGUUACCUUCGCAUUGUGCUCUCUAUCCUCCUCAUUUGUUGUUAUUAUCUAGUA
Molecule: long non-coding RNA, 380 nt
Organism: Glycine soja
Lineage: Eukaryota; Viridiplantae; Streptophyta; Magnoliopsida; Fabales; Fabaceae
Exons: 2
Source: RefSeq, a predicted model, not a curated record